AUGGAUUUUACUAUGCCUUCAUCGAGAAGCGCUGGCUGGCAAAGUUACGUCAUGUCCUGGCAGAGACUCUUAGGCAAGACGGAGGAGUUCAGCUACGCAGCCUGCCAGAAGAACAUUGCCCGGGAGGGGUCGCUAGCCUUGAGCUAUAGGCACCGAUGCACAUGGCUCGUUCUGUCAGGCGUUCAGAGCAUCGGGGAACGACUGUAUGCUGCCGUGAAGAACUACAGGCACCCGCCCUCAGCCCUUUGCAAGUUAUCAGCUAUCAAGAGUGGCCAGGAGACGCCGGCGGAAAGGUGGGUAAGCUGUGACCCCAGCUGCCUUUGCCUUGCUUUGCUGCUUAGUGUCGUAACAGCGACUUGGGACCCCGGAAUAAAAACUGUUACAGUGCUGAAGGGAGGACCUGCAUUUGCCCAGGCUGACGUUCUGAGGGCCAGCAACUGGAAGAGGAGCAGCUCAGCCCGUUUGGUUGAUUUCGGUGAUACUGUUUUAAGGAAGCAUGCAGCCUGA
RNAcentral lists this long non-coding RNA (507 nucleotides) under Apteryx rowi (Okarito brown kiwi). RNAcentral describes it as "lncRNA (ENSARWG00000007596.1)". The record is from RNAcentral. Lineage: Eukaryota; Metazoa; Chordata; Aves; Apterygiformes; Apterygidae.